CAUGAGACCGGACUACUGGAGCAUCACAGGAAAAGGCACGUAAGUACGUGCAGUAGAUGAUUAGCAACCCAAGGGACUAGGUGAACUACGAUACAAAAACGGCAUGCAACUUUCUACAAGUUUUGUGGAAGCUGCAAUGGACCUGGCACGCAUGUUGCAAUGAAU
RNAcentral lists this small RNA (165 nucleotides) under Arabidopsis thaliana (thale cress). Its description in RNAcentral is "ATSL148680". Lineage: Eukaryota; Viridiplantae; Streptophyta; Magnoliopsida; Brassicales; Brassicaceae. The record is from RNAcentral.